UCACUUGUUGGGUGAACAGCUAGUGACAGAAAAUAUAGUACAUUCUAAAUUGGCUAUUCUCAGAUGACUAGAAGGCCAAGUGAAAAUAUCUCCAUGGCAUCAUCCAAUGACGCAGCUGGUCAGUCACACGGACAUGACUUAACAGUCUCUGAGCAUACAGUUGCUUCUCUUGCUCCAGGGCCAUUUGGGUGUGGGAGGAGUGGGAAGAAAGAGAAAUCUCUCCUUGGAACAGCUGUCCUCUUUCUUUCGGCACACAGCGAGCUUUCCAUCCACUUAAGAUGAAUGCAUGCGAAGGCUGCAAAGUCUGCGAGACUUUCCUGAUUAGCAUCUAAAUCCUUUGCCUCUAUCUCCUCUUUCCCAAACUUAAAUCAAUAUUUUUAUCACCCUGUUCAGAAUGCCGUGCUCAAGCUGAAUGAAAUCACAGCUCAGAGAGAAACACCAGGGCCCCUGGCGCUGCAGACUCAGACGGAGUCCAUGAGUUCCAGCCUUUGAAAAGCUGAUUUGAGUCCAUCACUAGCACCUCUCCAUCUCAGAAUGUUGUCGUCAUGGCUGUCCCUGAUGUCUCCAAGGUCUUCAUUGGCACAGUGCUAGAAUCAGCACUGGCUGUGUUUGAGAAGUGGGAAGGUGCUACAGAAGCAUUUGACUUUGGGCUCCACUAAGUACUCCUCCUGAGAGAGUGUUCAUUGCAGACCUUUCAGCAGAAAUCUACUAUUCUGUGCUAGAGCCCUGUCAGUACAGUUCUAAGACAAGACUGGAAAAUUAGAGAAGACUAGAGUGGGAGAAAUGCCACCUGCAGCAGAUAAGACUCUGAGCCAAGACGGGGUCUUUUUGACUCUUCGCCAUGAGAACUGGGUAGAGUUCCUGAAGGUCCCUGUGGGACUUCUGGGCCUUCUUUUGUCCCCAGUUUCUUGUAGGCAAGACUCCAGCCUCCAUGACCUUCCCUGAGUUCCAAAGGGUGGAUUCAAGCAGUUGCUAAUCAAGGGAGAAGCAGCCAAGAAACCACCUGAGGCAAGAUUAAAGGGACCAGAGAAGAUCAUCAAGAUUAGGAGACUGCUGUGGCCCCCUUUGCCUGGCAAAGCAAUAAAGCUAUCCUUUUCUAGUUCACCCAAAACUGUGUCUCCAAGAUUCCACUCAGCACUGGUGCAGAAAGCUUUUGGCAUCAAUUCUAGCAACUUAUUGAACCUAAGGGAAUAGUGGGAACCCAUAAAAUUGUAGACAGCAGAGGGAAGUGAAGGUGGCCUGGAAAACUGCACACUAGCACUGGUGUCUGAAGUGAGAACACACUUAUGAAACAGGAGGGAAGAGGGCAGGGCACAACCUUUAAAAGAAUGACAGAGCCUGAGGACACAAUAUAAACUGAUUAGAACCAAAUAGGUCCAAGAUGGCAGACGAGUCAACCUCCACUAGACCUUGUGCCUCAGUAUAAGCUCAUUGUAACAUCAGCAAGCUAAAUGACACACCCACAGGUGCCAUGACAGUUCCAAGCCCAACCAUAAAGGUCAAAAAGUGGGCGGUGAUCCAAUUCCUGGAUAUCCCCACCCCUUCCCCCAAAUAGCUGGAAUACUCCUCCCACUCAUUAGCCUAUGAAAUUACCCACCCCUAUGAAAACUGAUAAUCCUGUACCCUGGUGUUGCUCUCGCCUUCUGAGAUAGCCCACACUCUGUCUGUGGAGUGCGUUUCUCUCUAAAUAAAUCUAC
Long non-coding RNA from Physeter macrocephalus (sperm whale), 1697 nucleotides. RefSeq lists it as uncharacterized. The record is from RefSeq and is a predicted model, not a curated record. Lineage: Eukaryota; Metazoa; Chordata; Mammalia; Artiodactyla; Physeteridae. The transcript is spliced from 7 exons.